GGAGCUACCUGGAGGACAGGAUUUGGGUGUGAAUGGAUGUUGCCCAGGAGGAGUUCCUCAGGACUUCUUUUUCUUGAUAAGUAAUGGUAACUCAGCCACCAGCAGAAUCUAGCUGACACCCAGUUGAUGGUUGACCAGAAAUCCCAUACCUUUCUGCCGGCCGCCAUGGUACCCUGGAGCUGAAAAUGGGUGUUGAGAACACAGUCUCUCAGGAGGCUCUGAGAAGGGCUUGAGUGAAAUGGGUUUGCUGUG
This 252-nucleotide long non-coding RNA is filed under the name Felis catus (domestic cat). RNAcentral describes it as "lncRNA (ENSFCAG00000052675.1)". The record is from RNAcentral. Lineage: Eukaryota; Metazoa; Chordata; Mammalia; Carnivora; Felidae.